AACGCACGAGACCUGCGGACCUGCGGAGGGAUCAUUGAUGAAACAAGAGUAGAAUGUGUGUAUUCACUACACUAUUCUAUUCAACCUUGAACAUGUGAAGAACAGUUCUCUGUUCAUACACAAUAAUAAUCACUAUUGAUUUAUUAACAAUCUAUAAUCACUAAAACUUUUAACAACGGAUCUCU
This 185-nucleotide unclassified non-coding RNA is filed under the name soil metagenome. RNAcentral describes it as "partial contains 5.8S ribosomal RNA, internal transcribed spacer 2, and large subunit ribosomal RNA". The record is from RNAcentral.